UCGAAAACGCAUUAAAAUUGA
This 21-nucleotide non-coding RNA is filed under the name Caenorhabditis elegans. Lineage: Eukaryota; Metazoa; Nematoda; Chromadorea; Rhabditida; Rhabditidae. The record is from RNAcentral.